UUUGAACCUUAAACUUUGGUGUUCUGAAUAAAAAGACAAUAUUAAUGACCUCGUGAAGACACACUCUUUAUCUUCUUCCAGCUAUAGCUUAGUGUCCCAAUUCACCGGAUUGCAGACAUAGUUCCUUUUAGCGCAAAUCUGCAAAUUAAGUUUGCCAACGGCUUCAGUUUUUUGAAGUUUUACAAUUCUGUGGCUUUGAAACAACUGCAUGGGGAAUUGUUUGAAUAAGGUGAGAAUAUUUGGAUCCUUAAGUAGGAAUAUGCUCAUCAGAACAUGAAAACCUAAGGCUUUCCUCCUGCUCUCUGAUAAACUGUUAGCUUGAACAGAUUAUCAGAGAGCAUAGGUUAUACUUUUGAGUGUAUCUGUAGCAUUUCUUUCCCCGAUAGUAUAGCGUAUGAGGAUAGCAUGUAGACUGAACUGAUUCACUUUUAUCUAUGGUUUUUCAUUUUGGCAAACAAUUUAAGAACUAGAAAGCAGAACUAAUUUGCUACUUCUGUUCCAGUGAGAGUAUGCAAGAGUGUGGAAACUUAAUUUUUCCUUGAAAUGGUUUGAGCUAAGAAGUAUGAAAAACUGGAUGGAUUUUGCCCAAGGGAGGCAAUUUUAAUUUAUAUGCAACAUUUUCUAUUUUAUAGCUAUAAUAGGAAAUGGUCUGAAGUAUCGCUUGCUGAACUUCUCUUUCUUAAUGCCACUUAAUGUUGCUUGAAAAGUUGCAACUUGACUAACACCAUAUCUCCCACUUGAAAAUCCAUAUCCUUUCUUCGCUUAUCUGCUUGAGCCUUCAUCUGCUGCUGAGCUUUCCACAAAUUGACUUUUGGCUGAGAGAGCAAGGCAUCUCGUUGGUGUAGAGUCUGCUGAGCUGCUUUUGAAUCAUCAGCAUUCACUGCAUACCUAGUUAAGCCUCAAACUCAGGAUGAUGAUUCUAAUCAUAAUGUGGUGUUGGCUUCUGGGAAUGUACAACACAUUACUACCAAAGAAACUUGGGACCAAAAGUUGGAACAUGCAAAGAGGGAUGGUAAAAUUGUUAUUGCCAAUUUCAGUGCAACAUGGUGUGGUCCUUGUAAGACGAUUGCACCAUAUUAUAGCGAGUUGUCCAAGAAUUACCCAUCUAUCAUGUUCUUAUUAGUCGAUGUGGAUGAACUAUCUGACUUCAGCAUUUCUUGGGACAUCAAAGCAACACCAACUUUCUUCUUCCUUAGAGAUGGAAAAGAGUUUGACAAACUUGUAGGAGCCAACAGGCCAGAGCUGGAAAAGAAGAUUGCUGGAGUUGCUGAUCAAUAGUGAUGUUGUUUCUUUCUUAUUCAUUAAAGCUGUGGUCUUCUCUUCUCCCUUCCCAACCCGUGAUGUCUGUCCUUGUAUACUUCCUUAGCACAUGCUUUCCCGUGAUGUCUGUCGUUGUAUUGUUCCUUAGCACAUGCUUUCCCGUGAUGUCUGUGAAUUGUAUUUAUCCUUAGAUGUAAAUAUAUGAUGGUUCAAAUGAUUGCUUGUAUUCUGAAUUUCAACCUGAUGUUAGUAUCUUUGAAAUGUAAAGCAUUGUUGUGCCUUAUGUUUUACAGAAUAUUAAUGAGUCAUGAGAAUGGUGGAUUUGAUUCUGACAGCACUACCUCGUCCCCUGUUGGAGGCUGAGGUUGACAAUGAAAAAUAUUCGGAUAGAGAAGAGGCAGAGAUCAUUGAGUUAGAUUGAAGUUUGAGAAGUGCAAAUGUAGUUUUGUGUACUUAAGUAGAAGUUUAAGUGCAAAAGAUAAAAAUAAUUGUCUUUGUACACAGUCACUUCGAUAAUUAUCAGACUUUAUUCCUUUUUGUCUACAUAUUGAUUAAGAAUUUAUUCUUGUGUAAAUCUGCCAUUGUAAUUUCAAAUAGUUCCAACCGACAAACAAUAUGUAGCCUAUAUGUAUCUCUUUUUGCAACUC
Molecule: RNA transcript, 1907 nt
Organism: Abrus precatorius (Indian licorice)
Lineage: Eukaryota; Viridiplantae; Streptophyta; Magnoliopsida; Fabales; Fabaceae
Gene name: thioredoxin H-type-like
Exons: 5
Source: RefSeq, a predicted model, not a curated record